UACGUAGGGUGCAAGCGUUGUCCGGAAUUAUUGGGCGUAAAGAGCUCGUAGGCGGUCUGUCGCGUCUGCUGUGAAAACUCGGGGCUUAACCCCGGGCCUGCAGUGGGUACGGGCAGACUAGAGUGCGGUAGGGGAGACUGGAAUUCCUGGUGUAGCGGUGAAAUGCGCAGAUAUCAGGAAGAACACCAAUGGCGAAGGCAGCUCUCUGGGACGGUACUGACGCUGAGACGCGAAAGCGUGGGGAGCAAACAGG
RNAcentral lists this ribosomal RNA (253 nucleotides) under uncultured bacterium. RNAcentral's name for it is "partial 16S ribosomal RNA". It matches the Rfam family "Bacterial small subunit ribosomal RNA", at positions 524 to 776 of the family's 1533-position model. The record is from RNAcentral.